GUACGAUCAAAUGUGAGAAAAACAACCGCUACAACAAAGAGGCUAUCUCCUUCGCAAUGCAGCUCGUUCACAGAUACUGCAUUGACGAUAAGGCCAACUCUGCAGUCACUGAGAGGCAGUAUAGAUGUCCUCAUCACUUUUUGCAUCAAAGAGUCUUAAAAUGGGCACAUGUUGUUUGCCGACUCCAGAUGAACUCAGCUAAUGUCCGUUUGAAUGUCAGUUAAACCAGACCCACCAGGCCAUGCCUUACAACGGAGGAGCGGACAGUGUGUAUGAACAACACCAAGAUAUCUGCCUGCAGAGAGGUGAAAGG
This is a long non-coding RNA of Dreissena polymorpha, 313 nucleotides long. RefSeq lists it as uncharacterized. The transcript has 3 exons. NCBI's taxonomy places the organism in Eukaryota, Metazoa, Mollusca, Bivalvia, Myida, Dreissenidae. The record is from RefSeq and is a predicted model, not a curated record.